This 437-nucleotide ribosomal RNA is filed under the name uncultured Glomeromycotina. RNAcentral describes it as "SSU rRNA". It matches the Rfam family "Eukaryotic small subunit ribosomal RNA", at positions 596 to 1037 of the family's 1831-position model. Lineage: Eukaryota; Fungi; Glomeromycota. The record is from RNAcentral.
AGCGUAUAUUAAAGUUGUUGCAGUUAAAAAGCUCGUAGUUGAAUUUCGGGGUUAGUAGGUUGGUCAUGCCUCUGGUAUGUACUGGUCUCACUGAUUCCUCCUUCCUGAUGAACCUUAAUGCCAUUAAUUUGGUGUUUUGGGGAAUUUGGACUGUUACUUUGAAAAAAUUAGAGUGUUUAAAGCAAGCUAACGCUUGAAUACAUUAGCAUGGAAUAAUGAAAUAGGACGUUCGAUCCUAUUUUGUUGGUUUCUAGGAUUGACGUAAUGAUUAAUAGGGAUAGUUGGGGGCAUUAGUAUUCAAUUGUCAGAGGUGAAAUUCUUGGAUUUAUUGAAGACUAACUACUGCGAAAGCAUUUGCCUAGGAUGUUUUCAUUAAUCAAGAACGAAAGUUAGGGGAUCGAAGACGAUCAGAUACCGUCGUAGUCUUAACCAUAAAC